RNAcentral lists this ribosomal RNA (220 nucleotides) under uncultured bacterium. RNAcentral describes it as "partial 16S ribosomal RNA". It matches the Rfam family "Bacterial small subunit ribosomal RNA", at positions 1281 to 1500 of the family's 1533-position model. The record is from RNAcentral.
AAACGCCUCAGUUCGGAUUGUAGUCUGCAACUCGACUACAUGAAGCUGGAAUCGCUAGUAAUCGCAGAUCAGAAUGCUGCGGUGAAUACGUUCCCGGGUCUUGUACACACCGCCCGUCACACCAUGGGAGUCGGAAAUGCCCGAAGCCGGUGACCCAACCAAAAGGAGGGAGCCGUCGAAGGCAGGUCUGAUAACUGGGGUGAAGUCGUAACAAGGUAAC